GCCUGGCUGGCUCAGUCGGCAAAGCAUCCGACUUUAGCUCAGGUCACGGUCUCGCGGUCCGUGGGUUCGAGCCCCGUGUCAGGCU
RNAcentral lists this transfer RNA (85 nucleotides) under Felis catus (domestic cat). It matches the Rfam family "tRNA". From Rfam's summary of the family: Transfer RNA (tRNA) molecules are approximately 80 nucleotides in length. Their secondary structure includes four short double-helical elements and three loops (D, anti-codon, and T loops). Lineage: Eukaryota; Metazoa; Chordata; Mammalia; Carnivora; Felidae. The record is from Rfam by way of RNAcentral.